This 468-nucleotide ribosomal RNA is filed under the name uncultured bacterium. RNAcentral's name for it is "partial 16S ribosomal RNA". It matches the Rfam family "Bacterial small subunit ribosomal RNA", at positions 28 to 507 of the family's 1533-position model. The record is from RNAcentral.
GACGAACGCUGGCGGCGUGCUUAACACACGCAAGUCGAACGGAAAGGCCCUGCUUUUGUGGGGUGCUCGAGUGGCGAACGGGUGAGUAACACGUGAGUAACCUGCCCUUGACUUUGGGAUAACUUCAGGAAACUGGGGCUAAUACCGGAUAGGAGCUCCUGCUGCAUGGUGGGGGUUGGAAAGUUUCGGCGGUUGGGGAUGGACUCGCGGCUUAUCAGCUUGUUGGUGGGGUAGUGGCUUACCAAGGCUUUGACGGGUAGCCGGCCUGAGAGGGUGACCGGCAACAUUGGGACUGAGAUACGGCCCAGACUCCUACGGGAGGCAGCAGUGGGGAAUAUUGCACAAUGGGCGGAAGCCUGAUGCAGCAACGCCGCGUGCGGGAUGACGGCCUUCGGGUUGUAAACCGCUUUCGCCUGUGACGAAGCGUGAGUGACGGUAAUGGGUAAAGAAGCACCGGCUAACUACGUG